UGUCAUGUUUUGACGUUUUUCAAAAGCGUACUUUUGUAAGCAUAUACAAGUGAAAUAAUUAGUGUUGAAAAUCCAAGUGCUGCUUUCACUGUAUGAUGUUUGUAUAAGAUUUUGCAUAAAAUUUGCAAUCUUUAAAAAAAUCGUGUUUUGCUUGUGCCAACAUCGGCGAGUUCAAAAAAUAGACUAUUUGAACAACUUUGAGACUGAACUUGUAACAAAGUUAUAAUUUACAAAUUGUGAAAUUACAAGGCAACAAUUUGGUUUUAUUACCUGUUUAUGAUCUCCUGUAAAUGGAUAAAUGAUAGCUACAACACUGGGCUCUUGGCGGCUGCAUA
Dendroctonus ponderosae (mountain pine beetle) is the source of this 335-nucleotide long non-coding RNA. RefSeq lists it as uncharacterized. The record is from RefSeq and is a predicted model, not a curated record. Lineage: Eukaryota; Metazoa; Arthropoda; Insecta; Coleoptera; Curculionidae. The transcript is spliced from 2 exons.